This 124-nucleotide ribosomal RNA is filed under the name uncultured bacterium. RNAcentral describes it as "partial 16S ribosomal RNA". The record is from RNAcentral.
CCCGGGUACCCCGUUCGUCACCAACCAACCCGACCCCCGGUCCCAAGACCACUGGAGUAGCCGGGUGUACCUAAAGUCGGUAACCGUAAGGAGCCGCCUAGGGUAAAAACUGGUGACUGGGGCU